GAUUUAUCGGCGUCGCCGUUCCUAUCUCGACCGGCUUUUGAUUUGAACUCUGACCAACGCGCGCACGAGUAUAUAACUCUUGAAAACGGCGAAAUCGCGAAACUAUAACCAACCUCUCGUUCCUCGCUGUAAAGAGUCAUCAAACCAUCGAUAGUUGGAUCGUUAUGACGAAUAUGCUGUUGGACGUGCAGGCUUUUCGAGUAAAAAUGUAUUGGAUACUUUGUAUCAUUAAAUAGCAAUGAAUUGGCCGAUCAUCGUUCGGGACGUCGUCCGUGGCGUUCCGCUUGCGACAUACACGGUCUUCAUGGAACACCGAGGCCUCAUUUGUAUUCGUCACCACCACGAAAAAUCAUCUAGCCAUCGACUUGAUUAUUUUUUUGGAUGACGACUCCAAGUAAAGAUCAACGGACGACUCGAAAUACAGAUCGAAGAUCAAUGACUUCGAUCAAUGGCUGGGAAUUUGACGAACAAGAUUUAUGAUCUCUAGUACGCUAUAUUUGAAACUCGAAGUGAAGAAGAGGAAAG
This 525-nucleotide unclassified non-coding RNA is filed under the name Bombus terrestris (buff-tailed bumblebee). Its description in RNAcentral is "misc RNA ENSBTSG00005032188.1". The record is from RNAcentral. Lineage: Eukaryota; Metazoa; Arthropoda; Insecta; Hymenoptera; Apidae.